AGAAGGGAUUGCCUCAAACUAGACCAAAACUGGUGUUUGGAUGAGUUGAUGAGGGGAUUUUUCUUCUUUUUAUGGGCAUUGUUGUUUAUUUUGAUGGAAUGAAUGCACGAUUAAUUCUCUAAGUUAGUAUCUUAAGUUUUUCUUCGUGUUUUCUGUUUGUGUGUACUUUUUAUAAAAAUUUAAUGAAAUUUAAAGCUUUAUUUGAUAUUAAA
This 212-nucleotide unclassified non-coding RNA is filed under the name Hevea brasiliensis (rubber tree). The record is from RNAcentral. Lineage: Eukaryota; Viridiplantae; Streptophyta; Magnoliopsida; Malpighiales; Euphorbiaceae.